RNAcentral lists this ribosomal RNA (422 nucleotides) under bacterium. Its description in RNAcentral is "partial 16S ribosomal RNA". It matches the Rfam family "Bacterial small subunit ribosomal RNA", at positions 355 to 776 of the family's 1533-position model. RNAcentral also lists the same sequence under 1 other name. The record is from RNAcentral.
UGGGGAAUUUUGCACAAUGGGCGCAAGCCUGAUGCAGCGACGCCGCGUGAGGGAUGAAGGCCUUCGGGUUGUAAACCUUUUUCGCUCAUGGUCAAGCCGCAGCUUUGGGUUGUGGUGAGGGUAGUGGGUAAAGAAGCGCCGGCUAACUACGUGCCAGCAGCCGCGGUAAUACGUAGGGCGCGAGCGUUGUCCGGAAUUAUUGGGCGUAAAGGGCUUGUAGGCGGUUGGCCGCGUCUGCCGUGAAAUCCUCUGGCUUAACUGGGGGCGUGCGGUGGGUACGGGGUGACUUGAGUGCGGUAGGGGAGACUGGAAUUCCUGGUGUAGCGGUGGAAUGCGCAGAUAUCAGGAGGAACACCGGUGGCGAAGGCGGGUCUCUGGGCCGUUACUGACGCUGAGGAGCGAAAGCGUGGGGAGCGAACAGG